CCUACGGGAGGCAGCAGUGGGGAAUAUUGCACAAUGGGGGAAACCCUGAUGCAGCGACGCCGCGUGAGUGAAGAAGUAUUUCGGUAUGUAAAGCUCUAUCAGCAGGGAAGAAAAUGACGGUAUCUGAUGAAGAAGCCCCGGCUAACUACGUGCCAGCAGCCGCGGUAAUACGUAGGGUGCAAGCGUUAUCCGGAUUUACUGGGGGGAAAGGGCGCGUAGGCGGCAGCGCAAGUCUGAAGUGAAAUGCCAGGGCUUAACCCCGGAACUGCGUUGGAAACUGUUCAGCUAGAGUACAGGAGAGGUAAGUGGAAUUCCUAGUGUAGGGGUGAAAUGAGUAGAUAUUAGGAGGAACACCAGUGGCGAAGGCGGCUUACUGGAAUGUAACUGACGUUGAGGCGCGAAAGCGUGGGGAGCAAACAGGAUUAGAUACCCCAGUAGUC
RNAcentral lists this ribosomal RNA (440 nucleotides) under uncultured bacterium. Its description in RNAcentral is "partial 16S ribosomal RNA". It matches the Rfam family "Bacterial small subunit ribosomal RNA", at positions 338 to 795 of the family's 1533-position model. The record is from RNAcentral.